RNAcentral lists this ribosomal RNA (253 nucleotides) under uncultured bacterium. Its description in RNAcentral is "partial 16S ribosomal RNA". It matches the Rfam family "Bacterial small subunit ribosomal RNA", at positions 524 to 776 of the family's 1533-position model. The record is from RNAcentral.
UACGGGGGGGGCAAGCGUUGUUCGGAAUUACUGGGCGUAAAGGGCUCGUAGGCGGCCAACUAAGUCAGACGUGAAAUCCCCAGGCUCAACCUGGGAACUGCGUCUGAUACUGGAUGGCUUGAAUUCGGGAGAGGGAUGCAGAAUUCCAGGUGUAGCGGUGAAAUGCGUAGAUAUCUGGAGGAAUACCGAUAGCGAAGGCAGCUCGCUGGGACGGUACUGACGCUGAGGCGCGAAAGCGUGGGGAGCGAACAGG